RNAcentral lists this ribosomal RNA (1374 nucleotides) under Escherichia coli 2-474-04_S1_C1. RNAcentral's name for it is "bacterial LSU rRNA". It matches the Rfam family "Bacterial large subunit ribosomal RNA", at positions 626 to 1983 of the family's 2925-position model. The record is from RNAcentral. Lineage: Bacteria; Pseudomonadati; Pseudomonadota; Gammaproteobacteria; Enterobacterales; Enterobacteriaceae.
ACUUAUAUUCUGUAGCAAGGUUAACCGAAUAGGGGAGCCGAAGGGAAACCGAGUCUUAACUGGGCGUUAAGUUGCAGGGUAUAGACCCGAAACCCGGUGAUCUAGCCAUGGGCAGGUUGAAGGUUGGGUAACACUAACUGGAGGACCGAACCGACUAAUGUUGAAAAAUUAGCGGAUGACUUGUGGCUGGGGGUGAAAGGCCAAUCAAACCGGGAGAUAGCUGGUUCUCCCCGAAAGCUAUUUAGGUAGCGCCUCGUGAAUUCAUCUCCGGGGGUAGAGCACUGUUUCGGCAAGGGGGUCAUCCCGACUUACCAACCCGAUGCAAACUGCGAAUACCGGAGAAUGUUAUCACGGGAGACACACGGCGGGUGCUAACGUCCGUCGUGAAGAGGGAAACAACCCAGACCGCCAGCUAAGGUCCCAAAGUCAUGGUUAAGUGGGAAACGAUGUGGGAAGGCCCAGACAGCCAGGAUGUUGGCUUAGAAGCAGCCAUCAUUUAAAGAAAGCGUAAUAGCUCACUGGUCGAGUCGGCCUGCGCGGAAGAUGUAACGGGGCUAAACCAUGCACCGAAGCUGCGGCAGCGACGCUGAUGCGUUGUUGGGUAGGGGAGCGUUCUGUAAGCCUGUGAAGGUGUGCUGUGAGGCAUGCUGGAGGUAUCAGAAGUGCGAAUGCUGACAUAAGUAACGAUAAAGCGGGUGAAAAGCCCGCUCGCCGGAAGACCAAGGGUUCCUGUCCAACGUUAAUCGGGGCAGGGUGAGUCGACCCCUAAGGCGAGGCCGAAAGGCGUAGUCGAUGGGAAACAGGUUAAUAUUCCUGUACUUGGUGUUACUGCGAAGGGGGGACGGAGAAGGCUAUGUUGGCCGGGCGACGGUUGUCCCGGUUUAAGCGUGUAGGCUGGUUUUCCAGGCAAAUCCGGAAAAUCAAGGCUGAGGCGUGAUGACGAGGCACUACGGUGCUGAAGCAACAAAUGCCCUGCUUCCAGGAAAAGCCUCUAAGCAUCAGGUAACAUCAAAUCGUACCCCAAACCGACACAGGUGGUCAGGUAGAGAAUACCAAGGCGCUUGAGAGAACUCGGGUGAAGGAACUAGGCAAAAUGGUGCCGUAACUUCGGGAGAAGGCACGCUGAUAUGUAGGUGAAGUCCCUCGCGGAUGGAGCUGAAAUCAGUCGAAGAUACCAGCUGGCUGCAACUGUUUAUUAAAAACACAGCACUGUGCAAACACGAAAGUGGACGUAUACGGUGUGACGCCUGCCCGGUGCCGGAAGGUUAAUUGAUGGGGUUAGCCGCAAGGCGAAGCUCUUGAUCGAAGCCCCGGUAAACGGCGGCCGUAACUAUAACGGUCCUAAGGUAGCGAAAUUCCUUGUCGGGUAAGUUC